GAAUGACAAGGGAUCGACCGCUGAGACGCUCCUUUUGAUGGUUUUGAUCGUCCGUGUGGACAGAUCGGAGCGCAUUCCGUCGUUGUAGUUAUGGGCUUCGGCCUUUGACUGCGCUCGGAUGCGUCCCUGCUGGGUUCAAGCGGGGCUGUCGGACUGAGACGUAUGGUUGCGCGAGGGGUGAAAUCCUAUGACCGCAGCCAGGCGAACAUCCGCGAAGGAUCUCAGGAGUAUGCCUUUAUGGACCGAGAACCAAAGCGUGGAGAUCGAAGAUGAUCAGAUACCAUCGUAGUCCACGCUGUAAACGAUGGCACCCAUGGAUUGGGUUGUGCCGCUUGAGAACUCCCCAGGACUGUUUGCCGCUUGUGCGAAAGCAGAGGCUAUGGCCUCAUGGGGGAGUACGGCCGCAAGCUGAAACUUAAAGAGAUUGACGGAAAGGCACCUCCAGCCGUGGAGGGUGCGGCUUAAUUUGACUCAACACGGAAACCUUUGUUACGGCUUAAGGGCGAA
This 507-nucleotide ribosomal RNA is filed under the name uncultured marine eukaryote. RNAcentral's name for it is "bacterial SSU rRNA". It matches the Rfam family "Eukaryotic small subunit ribosomal RNA", at positions 802 to 1235 of the family's 1831-position model. The record is from RNAcentral.